CCUACGGGAGGCUGCAGUGGGGAAUAUUGGACAAUGGGGGGAACCCUGAUCCAGCCAUGCCGCGUGUGUGAAGAAGGCCCUCGGGUUGUAAAGCACUUUCAGUGAGGAAGAACGCCUGGUGGUUAAUACCCAUCAGGAAAGACAUCACUCACAGAAGAAGCACCGGCUAACUCCGUGCCAGCAGCCGCGGUAAUACGGAGGGUGCGAGCGUUAAUCGGAAUUACUGGGCGUAAAGCGCGCGUAAGUGGCUUGAUAAGCCGGUUGUGAAAGCCCCGGGCUCAACCUGGGAACGGCAUCCGGAACUGUCAAGCUAGAGUGCAGGAGAGGAAGGUAGAAUUCCCGGUGUAGCGGUGAAAUGCGUAGAGAUCGGGAGGAAUACCAGUGGCGAAGGCGGCUUUCUGGACUGACACUGACACUGAGGUGCGAAAGCGUGGGUAGCAAACAGGAUUAGAUACCCGAGUAGUC
This 465-nucleotide ribosomal RNA is filed under the name Vreelandella stevensii. RNAcentral's name for it is "partial 16S ribosomal RNA". It matches the Rfam family "Bacterial small subunit ribosomal RNA", at positions 338 to 795 of the family's 1533-position model. Lineage: Bacteria; Pseudomonadati; Pseudomonadota; Gammaproteobacteria; Oceanospirillales; Halomonadaceae. The record is from RNAcentral.